GAUGAACGCUAGCUACAGGCUUAACACAUGCAAGUCGAGGGGAAACGACAUCGAAAGCUUGCUUUUGAUGGGCGUCGACCGGCGCACGGGUGAGUAACGCGUAUCCAACCUGCCCACCACUUGGGGAUAACCUUGCGAAAGUAAGACUAAUACCCAAUGAUAUCCCACGAAGGCAUCCGAAUGGGAUUAAAGAUUUAUCGGUGAUGGAUGGGGAUGCGUCUGAUUAGCUUGUUGGCGGGGUAACGGCCCACCAAGGCUACGAUCAGUAGGGGUUCUGAGAGGAAGGUCCCCCACAUUGGAACUGAGACACGGUCCAAACUCCUACGGGAGGCAGCAGUGAGGAAUAUUGGUCAAUGGGCGGAAGUCUGAACCAGCCAAGUAGCGUGCAGGAUGACGGCCCUAUGGGUUGUAAACUGCUUUUAUGUGGGAAUAAAGUGAGGGACGUGUCCCUUUUUGUAGGUACCACAUGAAUAAGGACCGGCUAAUUCCGUG
RNAcentral lists this ribosomal RNA (492 nucleotides) under uncultured bacterium. RNAcentral's name for it is "bacterial SSU rRNA". It matches the Rfam family "Bacterial small subunit ribosomal RNA", at positions 28 to 507 of the family's 1533-position model. The record is from RNAcentral.